UGGGGAUGUAGCUUAGUUGGGAGAGCGCCGCCUUUGCAAGGCGGAGGUCGUGGGUUCGAAUCCCAUCAUCUCCAU
RNAcentral lists this transfer RNA (75 nucleotides) under Chloroflexi bacterium ADurb.Bin120. RNAcentral's name for it is "tRNA-Ala". It matches the Rfam family "tRNA". Rfam says of the family: Transfer RNA (tRNA) molecules are approximately 80 nucleotides in length. Their secondary structure includes four short double-helical elements and three loops (D, anti-codon, and T loops). The record is from RNAcentral. Lineage: Bacteria; Bacillati; Chloroflexota.